Gasterosteus aculeatus aculeatus (three-spined stickleback) is the source of this 3042-nucleotide non-coding RNA. The record is from RefSeq and is a predicted model, not a curated record. NCBI's taxonomy places the organism in Eukaryota, Metazoa, Chordata, Actinopteri, Perciformes, Gasterosteidae.
CCCGUGGACUUUCCACCCUCACCGUCCUCCUCCUCUCUUCCCCCCCUUCGUCUGCCGCACUUUCUUUAACCUGCUCUUUCUAUUUCACGCUCUGUCACCCCCCCGAAUCCCACCCCACACUCUCACUUCUGGCCUUCUCUCUUAUCUCCACCCGACUACUCCGCCGGAUGUCUUUCACGUGGCGUCAGCCGAGCCGUGCACAUCCCACCACUUUUCAACCGCUACACACAUCGCACAUCGCACACGUUGGCCUCCCAGCCCACCACACCUCCUCCCCCCGGGGUGAGUUACAUGAAAGCAGAUACCCUCACAUGCGUCUCCAAGCCGAUCCUGUCAGCAUGUCACGGAUCGGCCACCCGCCGAGUUUCAAUCGCUGCUCUCUGGCGCGGAGACGUGUAGAUUACAUCAGCGCCGUGACUUCCAGCCGACACGCGGCAUCGACGGGGCGGGUGAAACGUGGGAGCUUACGGGGAAGAAAAGAGGAAAGUCUGUUAGAAAAGGUCCGUCUGAACUUUCUAGUUGGAAAGUCUCAUCAAAGAAGCAGAUUUGGGGAAAAGCUGAAAGCGACUAAAGCGUUGGUACAUUUAACGCAGACUGUAAGGCCUCGCCCCCCCCGACGUCCAUGACCACGUGACUUGCAGAUCAGUGGAUUUCUCUGACAUCGGAGCAAUGGAAUACGCAUGUUGCAUAAGUUGUUGCGGCGUGGAGCAGUGGGAACAGGGUCAGAUCAGAUAAGAUAAGGUGGAAUAAAUGUAUCUGCAGCAGCGAGGACUCUGCACUCUGUAGGAGGGAGGAAGCCGUCAGAUCACCACUUGCAGGACUGUUGGUGGAUUUGUUUACUUGCAACGCUGUUGACCUGUGAACCCUGGUUGAGUGGCUACUUCAUCGGACCUUGAGUCCAAACGACUUGGGAGAACUUUGCUCUCUGAAGCCGUGCUGGUUGUUUGCAUUGGUGCUUUGAAGCAAGGAGAAAUGUUUCUUCAGGAAUGUUCUCAGUAUGUGAAUACAGCUUAUUCUGCCAACCUUGUAUCACUGUUUUAUGCUGCAAACAUGUUGGUAAGAAUAGCGACUGUUCUGGGAUCCGGCUCCACGCUGGUGCCUUUGGUUAUCAUGGAGAUCAGGAGCAGACCAGUGCAGUGUCCAUUACCCUCAGAAAGCGCAGCCGACAGCUUGCUCUGGAACCAUAUUGCGCGUUGACUCGAGGGAAGCGGAGUUACCUGAAUAUGACCAGCAGCGAUAGUGAAUGCUGUAAGAAGCCCUGAGGCCCCGCCCCCUGCUUCUGCUCCCAGCGCCGCGUUUAAAGUUUAUUAUUGUUGAACGCGUCCUAAUUGCACCAGCUUUGAGCUCCUCGGGGGGCAUCUGCACACCAGCCAACUGGGAAGUGCACCGGCUGAACGAUUAAAGAGGUAUGUGAAGGACACACAUGCACACACGCAGACACGCAGACAUGCACACAUGCACACAUGCACACAUGCACACAUGCACACAUGCACACAUGCACACAUGCACACAUGCACACAUGCAGACAUGCAGAGAUUCCUUGGUUCAUAGUGAGCAGACAGUUUGCUUGACAUUUAACUAGAGACUCACGCUGCCUCCUGGGUCGUGUUGCAGACGUUCCCACUCAAAAGAUCUUGGAGGAACAGUGUGUUGGAUUUGGGGGAUUUAUUGGCAGAAAGGGGAUAUAACAUUAACAACGAUUCAUUAGUGAACCUGAAACUAAGAAUCACUGUUCUCAUCUGCUUAGAUGAGCAGUUAUCUACAUAUGGAGCUCAAGGUACUAAAUCCGCCAUGUUUCUACAGCAACCCAGAAGGACCAAGCACCGGCUCUAAAUAGUCCCUUUGAGACGUCUUCCUUACCCGAAGGUCCACGUGGUUCUCCCACAUGCUUGGAAAGACAAGAGUUUAAGUUUAAUAGGUUGGAUGCAAUUUGGGGAGAAAGUCUGGCCUGAAGGUGCAUGUUCCUCUUAAAGAUGUCCAAGCCCUGAGUGUGUAGCCCUAACAUGGACUGCGUGCGUCUCUGCGGUUGAGUCAGCGGCCUUCACACAUCGGGAUGCUGGCAUCACUGGCCGAUGUACUCGUGUGCUUUCACAUUCCUCCCUCGGCCCGGCGGUAAAGUCAGGACAGGCACGACGUUUUCCAAGUGUAGAAAAAUAUGAGAUAAUGUGUCAUUUCGCCUUAAGGGGUCAAGAGGGAUUUGCUAAACAAAGGCUCAUUAUUCAGAACAAACUGCUGCUCUCGUUUAGUAAACCCAGUGGAAUAAAGCUGCAGAAGUAAAGCAGUGAGCUGCCAGAAGAGAAAAAAAACAUUCGAUGGCAAAUGAUUCCAUGUCCUCACAUGCUGAGUAGCUUUAAAUAAAGGUACAUACAUUAGUAUCCGUUGUUGUUUCCACAGCAAAAGGAAAAAAACAUUUUCAAAGCACUUUCAUCCAAAGGAAGUAAAGCGAUGGAUUAUUAUGGAUCCCGUUUUCCCUGAUUUAAUAUGUUGGACUUUGCUUAUUUCCCCUCCAUGCUCGUUUUACAUGUCAAGGAGCAAAACAAGAGCCAAGCAUUCAGAGGGACGUCUCAGAAGCAGAGAAGGCCGCAGUGAGUGAAUCACAGUAUGUGAUCCUCGGUGUCCGUGUCAGAGCGAGAGAUUGAGCGAUGGAGUGCAACAUAUAGCAGAGAGUCUGGGGCCAACAGGCUCCUUCUUGGAGACGUGCAUCUUGGCCGUCUCACAACCGUCCAGCCUGUCGGAGGAUGCCAGCGCGUGACAGCAGGCGUGCUGACAAGCUCUAAUCGAGAACAGACCUUGAAUUUGGACACCAGCUUGGAGAGAAAACCAGCAUCUUGUCAUCCUCCAAGCUGUGAGAUGAUGUCUAUUUAGGACCGAAUAAGGAAAUGAUGCUGCGCUGCUGAGAGAUUCUUCACUGCGACUUCAUUAGGACAACAACAACAACUCUGAUGUGCACGUUGCAAAGAUGUAUAUGAUCAUCUGCUUGCUCUCCCAUCGGUAUUUCAUCCUAAAUCAAAGUAUUGGACUGAAGUAAAUUGCCUGAACUGA